UACGUAGGGUGCAAGCGUUGUCCGGAAUUAUUGGGCGUAAAGAGCUCGUAGGCGGUUUGUCGCGUCUGCUGUGAAAACCCGAGGCUCAACCUCGGGCCUGCAGUGGGUACGGGCAGACUAGAGUGCGGUAGGGGAGAUUGGAAUUCCUGGUGUAGCGGUGGAAUGCGCAGAUAUCAGGAAGAACACCGGUGGCGAAGGCGGCUCUCUGGGCCUUACCUGACGCUGAGGAGCGAAAGCGUGGGGAGCAAACAGG
This 253-nucleotide ribosomal RNA is filed under the name uncultured bacterium. Its description in RNAcentral is "partial 16S ribosomal RNA". It matches the Rfam family "Bacterial small subunit ribosomal RNA", at positions 524 to 776 of the family's 1533-position model. The record is from RNAcentral.